AUACGGAGGAUGCGAGCGUUAUCCGGAUUUAUUGGGUUUAAAGGGAGCGUAGGUGGAUUGUUAAGUCAGUUGUGAAAGUUUGCGGCUCAACCGUAAAAUUGCAGUUGAAACUGGGAGUCUUGAGUACAGUAGAGGUGGGCGGAAUUCGUGGUGUAGCGGUGAAAUGCUUAGAUAUCACGAAGAACUCCGAUUGCGAAGGCAGCUCACUAGACUGUUACUGACACUGAUGCUCGAAAGUGUGGGUAUCAAACAGGAUUAGAUACCCUGGUAGUCCACACAGUAAACGAUGAAUACUCGCUGUUUGCGAUAUACAGUAAGCGGCCAAGCGAAAGCAUUAAGUAUUCCACCUGGGGAGUACGCCGGCAACGGUGAAACUCAAAUGAAUUGGCGGGG
Molecule: ribosomal RNA, 393 nt
Filed under: uncultured bacterium
Lineage: Bacteria
Description: partial 16S ribosomal RNA
Rfam family: Bacterial small subunit ribosomal RNA
Source: RNAcentral